This 869-nucleotide ribosomal RNA is filed under the name uncultured bacterium. RNAcentral's name for it is "bacterial SSU rRNA". It matches the Rfam family "Bacterial small subunit ribosomal RNA", at positions 31 to 892 of the family's 1533-position model. The record is from RNAcentral.
GAACGCUGGCGGCGGGGCUUAACACAUGCAAGUCGUGGGAUAAGCGGGGCCUUCGGGCCCUGCAGACACCGGCGGAUGGGUGAGUAACGCGUAGGCAAUCUGCCUACAGGACGGGGAUAACGUUCCGAAAGGGGCGCUAAUACCCGAUGAUGCAGCGGGGGCGCAUGCCCACAGUUGUUAAAGGCCUUCGGGCCACCUGUAGAGGAGCCUGCGUGCCAUUAGCUAGUUGGUAGGGUCAAAGCCUACCAAGGCAAUGAUGGCUAGGGGGUCUGAGAGGAUGAUCCCCCACACUGGGACUGAGACACGGCCCAGACUCCUACGGGAGGCAGCAGUGAGGAAUCUUGCGCAAUGGGGGCAACCCUGACGCAGCCACGCCGCGUGCUGGAAGACGGCCCUAUGGGUUGUAAACAGCUUUUGAGCGGGAAGAACCCGGGGGAUUCGUCCCCCGCUGACGGUACCGCUAGAAUAAGCACCGGCUAACUCCGUGCCAGCAGCCGCGGUAAUACGGAGGGUGCAAGCGUUGUCCGGAAUUAUUGGGUGUAAAGGGUGCGCAGGCGGAAGCCUAAGUCGAGGGUGAAAGACGACCGCUUAACGGUCGCAGUGCCUUCGAUACUGGGUUUCUUGAGUCCGGAAGAGGUUGGUGGAAUUCGUGGUGUAGCGGUGAAAUGCAUAGAGAUCACGAAGAACACCAGUGGCGAAGGCGGCCAACUGGUCCGGUACUGACGCUGAGGCACGAGAGCGUGGGGAGCGAACAGGAUUAGAUACCCUGGUAGUCCACGCUGUAAACGAUGUAUGCUAGUUGUCGGCCCUUUGGGGCCGGUGACGCAGUUAACGCGCUAAGCAUACCACCUGGGGAGUACGUUCGCAAG